Molecule: ribosomal RNA, 253 nt
Filed under: uncultured bacterium
Lineage: Bacteria
Description: partial 16S ribosomal RNA
Rfam family: Bacterial small subunit ribosomal RNA
Source: RNAcentral
UACGAAGGGGGCUAGCGUUGCUCGGAAUCACUGGGCGUAAAGCGCACGUAGGCGGACUCUUAAGUCAGGGGUGAAAUCCUGGAGCUCAACUCCAGAACUGCCUUUGAUACUGGGAGUCUUGAGUUCGGGAGAGGUGAGUGGAACUGCGAGUGUAGAGGUGAAAUUCGUAGAUAUUCGCAAGAACACCAGUGGCGAAGGCGGGCUACUGGGCUGAUACUGACGCUGAUGCGCGAAAGCUAGGGGAGCAAACAGG